AACCUCCGCAAUGUGAGAAAUCGCGACGGGGGGAUCCCAAGUGCCAUUCUUAACGGGAUGGCUUUUCAUUAGUGUAAAGAGCUUUUGGAAUAAGAGCUGGGCAAGACCGGUGCCAGCCGCCGCGGUAACACCGGCAGCUCUAGUGGUAACAAUUUUUAUUGGGCCUAAAGCGUCCGUAGCCGGUUUAAUAAGUCUCUGGUGAAAUCCUGUAGCUUAACUGUGGGAAUUGCUGGUGAUACUGUUGAACUUGAGGUCGGGAGAGGUUAGCGGUACUCCCAGGGUAGAGGUGAAAUUCUGUAAUCCUGGGAGGCCACCUGUUGCGAAGGCGUCUAACUGGAACGUACUGACGGUGAGGGACGAAAGUUAGGGGCGCGAACCGGAUUAGAUACCCGGGUAGUCCUAACUGUAAACGAUGCGGACUUGGUGUUGGGGUGGCUUUGAGCUGCUUCAGUGCCGAAGGGAAGCUGUUAAGUCCGCCGCCUGGGAAGUACGGUCGCAAGACUGAAACUUAAAGGAAUU
This 519-nucleotide ribosomal RNA is filed under the name uncultured bacterium. RNAcentral's name for it is "bacterial SSU rRNA". It matches the Rfam family "Archaeal small subunit ribosomal RNA", at positions 345 to 866 of the family's 1478-position model. The record is from RNAcentral.